UCCUUGAUAGCUCAUCUGUCAAAGAAUCUGCCUGCAAUGCAGGAGACCCUGGUUCAAUUCCUGGGUUGGGAA
Molecule: transfer RNA, 72 nt
Filed under: Capra hircus (goat)
Lineage: Eukaryota; Metazoa; Chordata; Mammalia; Artiodactyla; Bovidae
Also listed under: 1 other name
Rfam family: tRNA
About the family: Transfer RNA (tRNA) molecules are approximately 80 nucleotides in length. Their secondary structure includes four short double-helical elements and three loops (D, anti-codon, and T loops). Further hydrogen bonds mediate the characteristic L-shaped molecular structure. tRNAs have two regions of fundamental functional importance: the anti-codon, which is responsible for specific mRNA codon recognition, and the 3' end, to which the tRNAs corresponding amino acid is attached (by aminoacyl-tRNA synthetases). tRNAs cope with the degeneracy of the genetic code in two manners: having more than one tRNA (with a specific anti-codon) for a particular amino acid; and 'wobble' base-pairing, i.e. permitting non-standard base-pairing at the 3rd anti-codon position.
Source: Rfam by way of RNAcentral